Molecule: non-coding RNA, 20 nt
Filed under: Arabidopsis thaliana (thale cress)
Lineage: Eukaryota; Viridiplantae; Streptophyta; Magnoliopsida; Brassicales; Brassicaceae
Also listed under: 2 other names
Source: RNAcentral
GACCGUCGUGAGACAGGUUA